RNAcentral lists this ribosomal RNA (465 nucleotides) under Hylodes perplicatus (Humboldt's tree toad). RNAcentral describes it as "partial 16S ribosomal RNA". It matches the Rfam family "Bacterial large subunit ribosomal RNA", at positions 1913 to 2542 of the family's 2925-position model. Lineage: Eukaryota; Metazoa; Chordata; Amphibia; Anura; Hylodidae. The record is from RNAcentral.
GUGAUCUUGUUUCAACGAGCCGCGGGUUUCCUAUCCGUACAAAGGAAGCGUAUUCACUUGUUCUUUAAAUAAGUGAGUAGUAUGAAUGGCAUCACGAAGGUUAUACUGUCUCCUUUUUGAAAUCAGAGAAACUAAACUCUCCCGUGGAGUAAGGGGGAUUACUAAUAAGACGAGAAGACCCUAUGGACCUUUGGACCUAAUAACGCGGGCUAAAAUACCUUAUCCUGAUUUUUGAUUUAUAUAGCACUAUGAUUAAAAGUAUUAGGUUGGGGUGGCCGCGGAGUAAAAAUUAACCUCCACAUUGAAAGGAUUCAUAAGCAGAAAGCAACAUCUUUAAGCAUCAACAAAUUGACACUUAUUGACCGAUGGUUUGAUCAAAGAGCCAAUUACCCUACGGAUACCAGCGCAAUCCGCUAUGAGAGAAAUAUCGACGAGUGGGCUUACGACCUCGAUGUUGGAUCAGGG